ACCAUGUUGAAUAUACCGGUUCUCGUUAGAUCACCGAAGUUAAGCAUCAUUGGGCGCGGUCAGUACUUGGGUGGGUGACCACCUGGGAACAUUGCGUGCCGUU
RNAcentral lists this ribosomal RNA (103 nucleotides) under Caerostris darwini. Lineage: Eukaryota; Metazoa; Arthropoda; Arachnida; Araneae; Araneidae. The record is from RNAcentral.